CCUCUUUCUUUCUCCCCACUCCCUCUCCCUCUCCCUCCUCCCUCUCUCCUCUCCCUCUCCCUCCAAGUCUGGCACCGAACGCGAACUGUUUGCUUUGCUCCGGGAAGAGUGCAGACACAACGUGAAAUCCCGAGCUUUUUGCGUGGUGCAUUGAAAACGCUUCCUUAUUUAUAUUACCCUCAUUCCCUCACCUCUCCCACCCCCUCACCAGUCCUUCCAAAUUUCCCUAGAAAUCUGUGUAAAGCGUGCGGAGGGGAAAACAUUUGCACAAAAAGUGAAGGAGCUCGCCAAGGAGUUCCCGUUUGGGUGGUCAAACCUGUCCUGACACCCGGAGGUCUGCAUGAGGGUCGGCCACUGGAGGAGGGGGUCUCAGAGGCCACAGGAGAUGAAGUGUCUAGACAAAUGAGCUCCAGAAUCCCAGAACUGCUCACUCCCAGAUUGGGCAUGAAGCCUCACUGACUCUGGCCUAGCAAGGAUACCAGUCUCCCCAGUGGUCAACACAGCUCUGGUCAGGAGCAAGUGACACCUGGGCUGUGGCCACCACUUGUGUUUGUUGCCAGCAGGCUCCUCUAAGGUCUAUUGAGCAUCUAAUGUAUGAAAGGCACUGCUCCAGACAAAGGGAAACAGCUGUGAACAAGAGAGAUAAAGUCUAGUGAAGGCAGCAGAUAAUGUGAAUUUGGUUUCCUAAGAUGGAAAGGAAGUUUGGGGGAAGAGUUUGGCAGCAUUGAUGGUUCCAGCAAAUGAAGAAUCAAUCCAGCUGGUGUUGAAACUGGAAUAUGUCAAAACUUUUAUCUCCUGAAGACUCUGGGAAAUACUUUUAAAGGUGAAACUUCUCAUCUUUAGGGAUUGAACACCUUCUCAACUGAAUUUAAAGAAGUGCAAUAUUUUGAGCUAUGUUUAAAUGAAGAUGAGAUAGAAGACCAAACUGUUAAAAAUAUGUAAGUUUUAUUGUACAGCCAAAUGAAGGAUUCAGCUCUAUUCCACUGGCAUUUUAAAAAAAUUCUUCACUUCUGUGACAUUCCCUAUUUAUGGAAUUUUCUUUCAUUACAUUGAACUAUUCCUGAUUUCAUCAUGAAAAUAUGACCUGAAAAUCCAUUUAUAGAAGUACUGAAAGUGAAUUUAAAAUUAAAUAGGAAUGUUUGUAUACUAAUACGAUACAAUAUGGUUGAUUCACAUUUUUCCAUA
Long non-coding RNA from Rhinolophus ferrumequinum (greater horseshoe bat), 1185 nucleotides. RefSeq lists it as uncharacterized. NCBI's taxonomy places the organism in Eukaryota, Metazoa, Chordata, Mammalia, Chiroptera, Rhinolophidae. The record is from RefSeq and is a predicted model, not a curated record. The transcript is spliced from 8 exons.